GACGAACGCUGGCGGCGUGCCUAAUACAUGCAAGUUGAGCGCUGAAGGUUGGUACUUGUACCAACUGGAUGAGCAGCGAACGGGUGAGUAACGCGUGGGGAAUCUGCCUUUGAGCGGGGGACAACAUUUGGAAACGAAUGCUAAUACCGCAUAAAAACUUUAAACACAAGUUUUAAGUUUGAAAGAUGCAAUUGCAUCACUCAAAGAUGAUCCCGCGUUGUGUUAGCUAGUUGGUGAGGUAAAGGCUCACCAAGGCGAUGAUACAUAGCCGACCUGAGAGGGUGUUCGGCCACAUUGGGACUGAGACACGGCCCAAACUCCUACGGGAGGCAGCAGUAGGAAUCUUCGGCAAUGGACGAAAGUCUGACCGAGAAACGCCGCGUGAGUGAAGAAGGGUUUCGGAUCGUAAAACUCUGUUGGUAGAGAAGAACGUUGGUGAGAGUGGAAAGCUCAUCAAGUGACGGUAACUACCCAGAAAGGGACGGCUAACUACGUG
Molecule: ribosomal RNA, 496 nt
Filed under: uncultured bacterium
Lineage: Bacteria
Description: partial 16S ribosomal RNA
Rfam family: Bacterial small subunit ribosomal RNA
Source: RNAcentral